GAUGAACGCUGGCGGCGUGCUUAACACAUGCAAGUCGAACGAUGAAGCCCAGCUUGCUGGGUGGAUUAGUGGCGAACGGGUGAGUAACACGUGAGUAACCUGCCCUUAACUCUGGGAUAAGCCUGGGAAACUGGGUCUAAUACCGGAUAGGAGCGCCUACCGCAUGGGGGGUGUUGGGAAGAUUUAUCGGUUUUGGAUGGACUCGCGGCUUAUCAGCUUGUUGGUGAGGUAAUGGCUCACCAAGGCGACGACGGGUAGCCGGCCUGAGAGGGUGACCGGCCACACUGGGACUGAGACACGGCCCAGACUCCUACGGGAGGCAGCAGUGGGGAAUAUUGCACAAUGGGCGAAAGCCUGAUGCAGCGACGCCGCGUGAGGGAUGACGGCCUUCGGGUUGUAAACCGCUUUCAGUAGGGAAGAAGCGAAAGUGACGGUACCUGCAGAAGAAGCACCGGCUAACUACGUG
RNAcentral lists this ribosomal RNA (466 nucleotides) under uncultured bacterium. RNAcentral describes it as "partial 16S ribosomal RNA". It matches the Rfam family "Bacterial small subunit ribosomal RNA", at positions 28 to 507 of the family's 1533-position model. The record is from RNAcentral.